This 833-nucleotide long non-coding RNA is filed under the name Homo sapiens (human). RNAcentral's name for it is "HSALNT0278448". Lineage: Eukaryota; Metazoa; Chordata; Mammalia; Primates; Hominidae. The record is from RNAcentral.
CAGCCAUCGGCUUGGGUCCCCCUGACCAGCAUGAGCCUGUGAGGCAGCAGUCCAUGCGUGGGCUGGCUGGCGGCUUCUCUGUCUUCCAGUCAUCCACGAGAGGCUCUCUGUGCUCAUGCUAAGCAGGAGCAACUCAGUAGGAGGACUGGCAACUCACUAAGAGGACCGACAGACCACCAGCCAGGACUCCAGCUGACCUUUGGAAGGAUGGGUCACGGUUUCCAGAAGGCCAUCUUUCUCUUCUGAUUUCAACACAAAUGAAAACCUCUCAAGAGCCUUACAAAAGUCUACGGAAAACCGAUCUCUUCACUGGCCUCCUGGCUUCCAGUCUCCUCCCCUCUUCCUGGCCUGGGUAUCACUACCGAACUCAUUCUCCCGAGACGCCCCUUCAUGACAGCACUGCUGAAGGAGCUGUUUCUCUUGGGUAAGUGGACAACCACAGCCUGACUUUAAGGUGCUCCACAUUAUCGUUCCAACUCCUCCACUUCAGGCAGGCCCCCGACACACACGAUCAUUCCACCUUCUUCAUUCUCUGAAACUCUUCCUUCUCCCUCUCCAAGAUCCAGGCUCAGAACCUCUGGAGACACGACCAGAGCCAUAGUCUUCCAUCAUGUAUUUAGAAUUUAGUCACAGAGUCCAACAGGGCUUCAGAUUAUAAAUACUUUUUUCAUUAUGCAGAUAUAAUUCACAUACCGUAAAACUCACCCUGUUAAAGUGCAUGAUUCAGUGGUUUCAGCACAUUCACAAAGCUGUGCCAUCAUCACCACUAACUCCAGAACACUUUCAGCAGUCCAAAAAGCAGGCCUGGACCAUUAGCAGCCACUCUCCAUUCU